GACGAGGGGUCCUAGCGUUGUUCGGAAUCAUUGGGCGUAAAGCGUAUGUAGGCGGCCAUUUAAGUCGGGCGUGAAAUCCCCGGGCUCAACCCGGGAAGUGCAUCCGAAACUGGAUGGCUUGAGUAUGGGAGAGGAUAGUGGAAUUCCUGGUGUAGUGGUGAAAUACGUAGAUAUCAGGAGGAACACCGGUGGCGAAGGCGGCUAUCUGGCCCUAUACUGACGCUGAGAUACGAAAGCGUGGGGAUCAAACAGG
RNAcentral lists this unclassified non-coding RNA (253 nucleotides) under uncultured Pseudobdellovibrionaceae bacterium. RNAcentral's name for it is "uncultured Bdellovibrionaceae bacterium contains 16S-23S intergenic spacer region". It matches the Rfam family "Bacterial small subunit ribosomal RNA", at positions 524 to 776 of the family's 1533-position model. The record is from RNAcentral. Lineage: Bacteria; Pseudomonadati; Bdellovibrionota; Bdellovibrionia; Bdellovibrionales; Pseudobdellovibrionaceae.